AGAAUCAACGCUGGCGGCGUGCCUAACACAUGCAAGUCGAACGAGAAAGUGGAGCAAUCCAUGAGUAAAGUGGCGCACGGGUGAGUAACACGUGACUAACCUACCUUUUAGUGGGGGAUAACCUAGGGAAACCUGGGCUAAUACCGCAUAAUACCUACGGGUCAAAGCAGCAAUGCGCUGAAAGAGGGGGUCGCGGUCGAUUAGUUAGUUGGCAGGGUAAUGGCCUACCAAGACUGUGAUCGAUAUCCGGCCUGAGAGGGCGCACGGACACACUGGAACUGAAACACGGUCCAGACUCCUACGGGAGGCAGCAGUGGGGAAUUUUGCGCAAUGGGGGAAACCCUGACGCAGCAACGCCGCGUGGAGGAUGAAGUCCCUUGGGACGUAAACUCCUUUCGACCGGGAAGAUAAUGACGGUACCGGAAGAAGAAGCCCCGGCUAACUUCGUGCCAGCAGCCGC
This 460-nucleotide ribosomal RNA is filed under the name uncultured bacterium. Its description in RNAcentral is "SSU rRNA". It matches the Rfam family "Bacterial small subunit ribosomal RNA", at positions 26 to 518 of the family's 1533-position model. The record is from RNAcentral.